GCGGGUAUGGUAUAAGGGUUGUGCCUGUGGCUUCCAACCACAAGAUGCGAGUUCAAAUCUCGCUACCCGCUCCA
RNAcentral lists this transfer RNA (74 nucleotides) under Nanobdellota archaeon. RNAcentral's name for it is "tRNA-Gly". It matches the Rfam family "tRNA". From Rfam's summary of the family: Transfer RNA (tRNA) molecules are approximately 80 nucleotides in length. Their secondary structure includes four short double-helical elements and three loops (D, anti-codon, and T loops). Lineage: Archaea; Nanobdellati; Nanobdellota. The record is from RNAcentral.